This 468-nucleotide ribosomal RNA is filed under the name uncultured bacterium. RNAcentral describes it as "partial 16S ribosomal RNA". It matches the Rfam family "Bacterial small subunit ribosomal RNA", at positions 28 to 507 of the family's 1533-position model. The record is from RNAcentral.
GACGAACGCUGGCGGCGUGCUUAACACAUGCAAGUCGAACGGAAAGGCCCUGCUUUUGUGGGGUGCUCGUUUGGCGCACGGGUGAGUAACACGUGAGUAACCUCCCCUUAACUUUGGGAUAACUCUAGGAAACUGGGGCUAAUACCGGAUAGGAGCUCCUGCUGCAUGGUGGGGGUUGGAAAGUUUCGGCGGUUGGGGAUGGACUCGCGGCUUAUCAGCUGGUUGGUGGGGUAGUUGCUUACCAAGGCUUUGACGGGUAGCCGGCCUGAGAGGGUGACCGGCCACAUUGGGACUGAGAUACGGCCCAGACUCCUACGGGAGGCAGAAGUGGGGAAUAUUGCACAAUGGGCGGAAGCCUGAUGCAGCAACGCCGCGUGCGGGAUGACGGCCUUCGGGUUGUAAACCGCUUUCGCCUGUGACGAAGCGUGAGUGACGGUAAUGGGUAAAGAAGCACCGGCUAACUACGUG